GCGCUGACAUCCUGUGUUC
RNAcentral lists this non-coding RNA (19 nucleotides) under Mus musculus (house mouse). Lineage: Eukaryota; Metazoa; Chordata; Mammalia; Rodentia; Muridae. The record is from RNAcentral.